RNAcentral lists this ribosomal RNA (253 nucleotides) under uncultured bacterium. Its description in RNAcentral is "partial 16S ribosomal RNA". It matches the Rfam family "Bacterial small subunit ribosomal RNA", at positions 524 to 776 of the family's 1533-position model. The record is from RNAcentral.
UACGAAGGGGGCUAGCGUUGCUCGGAAUUACUGGGCGUAAAGCGCACGUAGGCGGAUCUUUAAGUCAGGGGUGAAAUCCUGGAGCUCAACUCCAGAACUGCCUUUGAUACUGAGGACCUUGAGUUCGGGAGAGGUGAGUGGAACUGCGAGUGUAGAGGUGAAAUUCGUAGAUAUUCGCAAGAACACCAGUGGCGAAGGCGGCUCACUGGCCCGAUACUGACGCUGAUGCACGAAAGCGUGGGGAGCAAACAGG